UCUGACAUGUUUGCAUUAUUCAUCAAGAUGGAUGGUGACCGCUCUUUAUAAUCCCUGUGAAUCGCUAGUCUGUGUAUUUUUUGUGCAUGUUCCAACAGAGAUGUGUGUUGUCUGAAGCAACAUGACCUCUACAACCUGAGAUUAGUAUGCUGUUCGAAACAUUAUCUUCAAGUACACCUCAAAGACCACUUCCGAGGAAAUUGGAAAUAUCUACUGAAGUUUGCGAAGUCCAUCGUCUACGGAAGGUAUCGAUAACGGAGUGGAUUUUUCUGACGCACCUCAUUUGGCUAAGUAGGAUUUGAAGUUUUCACGGCGGUGAGUCCACCAUCAGGGCGAUCGCCGUGAUGAUGGAGGCAGCAAGGACCUACGAAACUUUGGUGAACUUCUAUAGACUACAAGGCGCAACAUCCCACAAGA
Molecule: non-coding RNA, 417 nt
Organism: Zootermopsis nevadensis
Lineage: Eukaryota; Metazoa; Arthropoda; Insecta; Blattodea; Termopsidae
Source: RefSeq, a predicted model, not a curated record